UCUUCUAGCUUGCUAGAAGUGGAUUAGUGGCGCACCGUUGAGUAAUGCAUAGGUUAUGUGCCCUUUAGUCUGGGAUAGCCACUGGAAACGGUGAUUAAUACUGGAUACUCCCUACGGGGGAAAGUUUUUCGCUAAAGGAUCAGCCUAUGUCCUAUCAGCUUGUUGGUGAGGUAAUGGCUCACCAAGGCUAUGACGGGUAUCCGGCCUGAGAGGGUGAUCGGACACACUGGAACUGAGACACGGUCCAGACUCCUACGGGAGGCAGCAGUAGGGAAUAUUGCUCAAUGGGGGAAACCCUGAAGCAGCAACGCCGCGUGGAGGAUGAAGGUUUUAGGAUUGUAAACUCCUUUUGUUAGAGAAGAUUAUGACGGUAUCUAACGAAUAAGCACCGGCUAACUCCGUGCCAGCAGCCGCGGUAAUACGGAGGGUGCAAGCGUUACUCGGAAUCACUGGGCGUAAAGAGUGCGUAGGCGGGGUAAUAAGUCAGAUGUGAAAUCCUGUAGCUUAACUACAGAACUGCAUUUGAAACUGUUACUCUGGAGUGUGGGAGAGGUAGGUGGAAUUCUUGGUGUAGGGGUAAAAUCCGUAGAGAUCAAGAGGAAUACUCAUUGCGAAGGCGACCUGCUGGAACAUUACUGACGCUGAUGCACGAAAGCGUGGGGAGCAAACAGGAUUAGAUACCCUGGUAGUCCACGCCCUAAACGAUGGAUGCUAGUUGUUGCCUUGCUUGUCAGGGCAGUAAUGCAGCUAACGCAUUAAGCAUCCCGCCUGGGGAGUACGGUCGCAAGAUUAAAACUCAAAGGAAUAGACGGGGACCCGCACAAGCGGUGGAGCAUGUGGUUUAAU
Molecule: ribosomal RNA, 846 nt
Filed under: uncultured bacterium
Lineage: Bacteria
Description: bacterial SSU rRNA
Rfam family: Bacterial small subunit ribosomal RNA
Source: RNAcentral